Molecule: long non-coding RNA, 360 nt
Organism: Erpetoichthys calabaricus (reedfish)
Lineage: Eukaryota; Metazoa; Chordata; Cladistia; Polypteriformes; Polypteridae
Exons: 3
Source: RefSeq, a predicted model, not a curated record
CUAUAACAUUGAGCCUUAAGUUUUUCUUGUAGUGCUCCGAAGCAUAGUUCACUUCACUUUCGUAUAUCCCUUCGUCGGCAAUAAGGAGCUGCUGAAGGACGAGGGAGGCGUCACCAUGCCGCAGCCCCGCUUCAGACAGCUUCCCCCUUUUGGCCACUUCCAUUUUCUCCGAUUCAUAUGUCACCAGCUCCUUAUUAUUUUUUUUCCAGAUUACUCUGGUGAACUUUAGGUCUAUUGAAUUCCCAUUUUUAGUAAAAACAAAAGGCAGCAGUACAUCAGAAUGGAGGACUCCAUUGAUCACAGUUUGUGAAAUGGCAGGGUAGGAAAGACUCAAGACUACUAAAGGCAGGCAUACUAAUU